This 623-nucleotide unclassified non-coding RNA is filed under the name Hevea brasiliensis (rubber tree). The record is from RNAcentral. Lineage: Eukaryota; Viridiplantae; Streptophyta; Magnoliopsida; Malpighiales; Euphorbiaceae.
AGGAAAACAGAAAUUAUUUAAAAAUUAAACAUUUAGUUCUUCUGUUCCUUUGGCCAAAAACUAGUAGUAGAUGUUUUAAAUAAUUUAAAAUGCAUGAGUGGGAAGCAGCUCAUGUUGAAAUCAUUUAUUGACCUAAAAAGUUAGAUAUCAUUGUUUUUAAUACAAAAUUAUCCUUGGUUUUUCCCUGCUUAUGUUGUACAUGUGAUAAUUUAAAAAAAAAAUUAUAGUGUUUUAUAGGUAUUAUAUGAUAUAUUGUAUUUUGGUUGUUCUGGGAUGUGAACAUAAGGCACAAAGUGCUUGUAAUUCUCUGUGAUUGCUAGUGAGCUUGAUCUUGCUAGACAAUUUACUGAUCUAGUGGAGAUUCUGUUUUUUGUUGUUUGCUUUGUCAUUUUCUUUUGUGUUUGAUAUUUAUAUGGUUAAAAGCUCCUUUCUUGCUUCCUUUAUCAUGACUUGAUGUGGGUUAGAUGGAGCUGGAAAACCUUUAACUAAUAUCUGUUUCAGUUUUGCAUAAUUUUCUUAUUAAUUGGUGGAGCUGGAAAACCUUUUACUAAUAUCUGUUUCUGUUUUGUUUAAUUUUCUUAUUCAUUUCUAUGCUAAUAUGGUUUUUUCUUCACUAGGUGUUA